AGUGUUUAAACAUGAGCCGAUGUGUCAUUUCUGCUUAUUGGUUUUAUAUAUAAACAGUUUUCAGACAAGGAUCAGCAGCUUUCUGGAAGUGAGGGAGAAGAUGAUAUGGAGGCUGCCUUGAAGAAGGAAGUUGGUGACAUUAAGGCUUCUACAGAGAAGAGACUAAGAAGAUUCCAGUCAGUGGAGAGUGGAGCAAAUAAUGUGGUCUUCAUCAGGACCCUUGGGAUAGAACCUGACAAACUGGUGCAUCAUAUUCUCCAGGAUGUGUAUAAAACUAAGAAAAAGAAGACUCGAGUUAUUUUAUGAAUGUUACCCAUCUCAGGCACAUGCAAAGCUUUCUUAGAAGAUAUGAAAAAAUACGCAGAAACAUUUUUGGAACCCUGGUUUAAAGCACCAAACAAAGGGACAUUUCAGAUUGUGUAUAAGUCUCGAAAUAA
Molecule: long non-coding RNA, 437 nt
Filed under: Fukomys damarensis (Damara mole-rat)
Lineage: Eukaryota; Metazoa; Chordata; Mammalia; Rodentia; Bathyergidae
Description: lncRNA (ENSFDAG00000026042.1)
Source: RNAcentral